This 254-nucleotide ribosomal RNA is filed under the name uncultured bacterium. RNAcentral's name for it is "partial 16S ribosomal RNA". It matches the Rfam family "Bacterial small subunit ribosomal RNA", at positions 524 to 776 of the family's 1533-position model. The record is from RNAcentral.
UACGGGGGGAGCAAGCGUUGUUCGGAUUUACUGGGCGUAAAGGGCGCGUAGGCGGUCAGCACAAGUCAGUUGUGAAAUCUCCGGGCUUAACUCGGAAAGGUCAACUGAUACUGUGCGACUAGAGUGCAGAAGGGGCAACUGGAAUUCUCGGUGUAGCGGUGAAAUGCGUAGAUAUCGAGAGGAACACCUGCGGCGAAGGCGGGUUGCUGGGCUGACACUGACGCUGAGGUGCGAAAGCGUGGGGAGCAAACAGG